Molecule: ribosomal RNA, 253 nt
Filed under: uncultured bacterium
Lineage: Bacteria
Description: partial 16S ribosomal RNA
Rfam family: Bacterial small subunit ribosomal RNA
Source: RNAcentral
UACGGAGGUGGCAAGCGUUACUCGGAAUCAUUGGGUGUAAAGGGCAAGUAGGCGGCUUGAUAAGUGAGGGGUGAAAUCUUCCGACUCAAUCGGAAAAUUGCCUUUCAAACUAUCUGGCUUGAGGCAGGGAGAGGGAAAUGGAAUUCUCGGUGUAAGGGUGAAAUCUGUAGAUAUCGAGAAGAACACCAGCGGCGAAGGCGAUUUCCUGGCCCUGUUCUGACGCUCAAUUGCGAAAGCUAGGGGAGCAAACAGA